Long non-coding RNA from Lemur catta (Ring-tailed lemur), 1498 nucleotides. RefSeq lists it as uncharacterized. Lineage: Eukaryota; Metazoa; Chordata; Mammalia; Primates; Lemuridae. The record is from RefSeq and is a predicted model, not a curated record. The transcript has 4 exons.
UGUAUCCGAAGUCACAGUAAACGGAGGGGCUGGGCCUACAGGCCAUCUCCUAACUCUGAGUUGAGUUCUCCCGAAGCACUGUACCAGAGAUCCUCCCACCCCCAGCCAGCCCCCUGCCUGUCCUCCAAGCAUCGCUGCAUGUCCUGGAGCAGCUGCUGCUGUGGAUAUAGCCCAGGUGUGCUCUGCGUGGUCCAAGCAGGUCAACCUCACCAAAUGAAACGGCAGCCCAUCACUACUGCCUCAGGAAGGCAGAGGGCACUGGCCUUCCAGUUCCAGGAGGACAAGCAUGUUAAGUGGCCGCAGGAGCCUCAUCCAGUGCCCAGCACUCAACAGGUGCUCACGGAAAUAUUUUUUGGAUUGAAACCUGUUUGGUUUGUCCCUGUCUCCCUGUGGCUCUGCCGUCCUGGGCUGUGAGAGGAGAAUUGAGUCUCAGGCCUGAAGAAACUGGACUAAAGAAUGCCUUACAGAAAGUUCAUCUAAGUCAGAAAUGCAAAGAAUAACUUCAAAGGACUGUUAAAAUUCAAGUAACGGGGGAGGAAAUCUGUGUUCACGAAGGCACCUGUGAGAGGAGGCACGGCCUGGCAGGUGAAUGACAGCGGCAUGUGUGGGUGGCCACGGCGGGCGUUGGGUUGGGGACAGGCUCUGCAGCAUCCCGGGACUGCAGUUCUCUGCCUUCUUCAGCUGCUUCUGCUCCAUCAGCUGCUUCAUAACUUGAGCAGGAGGCUUGGGUUUCCAUGUGAGCUGCUGGCUGGAGUGUCCCCUGGCGGGGCUGGGAGCCUGGCUGUAAUCACCCCGAUUAGCAGUUGGCAGCUCCCCAGUCCAGUUUUUUACCUGGACUGACUCAGCCCUGACAGCUGCCGGACCUGCUGUGUUGCUCACACAUGAGUGGAAGCUGCAUCCACUAAGCGGUUUAUUCUCCUCCUUGCCCCCUGUGGGGGGCCCUUGGCACCAGCUGGCACAGCUGACUCUCUCGCACCAUGAGGCCUGGGAAGACCAGCUCCAAGAACCAGUGCUCCUAGCCAUGGCAGCUUUGCUCCCGGGCACUCAGCAAAGUGCAAAGCUGUGGGGAAGAACUCUGAACAUGGCCUCAGGAAGGAAUCCAGCCCUGAAAACAGUCACUGGUGGCCCAUGCUGGCAUCUAUAGCACAGGGGGCAAGGCUGGAAUGUUCGCCAUGCAUCUGAUAACCAAGAUGGUGCCCUGUAUCCUGAGGCCAGAGCGACUGCGGGCACGGUUCACAAAGAGCCUGGGUGCAGAACCUCAGUCUGCCAGCUCCUUGCCUUUCGGCUCGCCAGGGCCUCCUCGCUCUGAGCACACCCUCUCUGCAGACCAUCCUGUUCUAACAAGCCCUGGCUGAGUCCGUGGGUUCUGUGGAAGAGAGCUAGCUGUCGGUCAGAGCCUGGAAGGAGGGAAGUGGCACCUCACUAGCAUUUAUCACAGUUUUUUUUUUCCUUCUCUUUUUAAAAAUAAAACCAGACUCUCUUCUGAAAAUAAAAAACU